Molecule: microRNA precursor, 108 nt
Filed under: Chlorocebus sabaeus (green monkey)
Lineage: Eukaryota; Metazoa; Chordata; Mammalia; Primates; Cercopithecidae
Description: miRNA (ENSCSAG00000020620.1)
Rfam family: mir-4774 microRNA precursor family (bases 11-84)
Source: RNAcentral
UAGAUUAGCCUAUAUUGUUGUCUGGUAUGUAGUAGGUAAUAACUGACAAACAGAUGAUUGCCUAACGUGCCAGAAAGCAACGCAGGCAAGGCUUGCGGUUACAAAAUA